AAGGAAUUAGUUAAAUAAUAAUAUAGGUUUGUCAAGCCUAAGUUACUAAAGUUGUAGUAUUUCUUG
This 66-nucleotide transfer RNA is filed under the name Petrasma pervernicosa. RNAcentral describes it as "Solemya pervernicosa tRNA-Asp". Lineage: Eukaryota; Metazoa; Mollusca; Bivalvia; Solemyida; Solemyidae. The record is from RNAcentral.